AGUGAGAUGUGUGUUUAAAGACCCCAGAACAACUGCCAAGACACUAGUGAAUGACUUAGCCAAGUCGGCAAGUGUAGUGUCAAAGAAGACAAUCACUACAG
Thalassophryne amazonica is the source of this 101-nucleotide long non-coding RNA. RefSeq lists it as uncharacterized. Lineage: Eukaryota; Metazoa; Chordata; Actinopteri; Batrachoidiformes; Batrachoididae. The record is from RefSeq and is a predicted model, not a curated record. The transcript has 3 exons.